This 182-nucleotide small nuclear RNA is filed under the name Vicugna pacos (alpaca). Its description in RNAcentral is "U1 spliceosomal RNA (ENSVPAG00000017096.1)". It matches the Rfam family "U1 spliceosomal RNA". From Rfam's summary of the family: U1 is a small nuclear RNA (snRNA) component of the spliceosome (involved in pre-mRNA splicing). Its 5' end forms complementary base pairs with the 5' splice junction, thus defining the 5' donor site of an intron. Lineage: Eukaryota; Metazoa; Chordata; Mammalia; Artiodactyla; Camelidae. The record is from RNAcentral.
AUACUUACUGGCAGGGGAGAUACCAUGAUGACGAUGGUGGUUUUCCCAGGGCGAGGCUUACCCAUUGAACUUCAGAUGUACUGACCCCUGCAAUUUCCCCAAAUGUGGGAAACCUGACUGCAUAAUUUGUGAUAGCAGGGGAAAAAAAAAGUUGAAGUGUUUCAGAACUCACUUUACUUCUG